This 163-nucleotide ribosomal RNA is filed under the name uncultured bacterium. RNAcentral describes it as "partial 16S ribosomal RNA". It matches the Rfam family "Bacterial small subunit ribosomal RNA", at positions 1336 to 1500 of the family's 1533-position model. The record is from RNAcentral.
UAGUAAUCGCGGAUCAGCAUGCCGCGGUGAAUACGUUCUCGGGCCUUGUACACACCGCCCGUCGCACCAUGGGAGUCGGUAACACCCGAAGUCUGUAGCCUGACGCAAGAGGGCGCAGCCGAAGGUGGGAUUGAUGACUGGGGUGAAGUCGUAACAAGGUAGC